Macadamia integrifolia is the source of this 7344-nucleotide long non-coding RNA. RefSeq lists it as uncharacterized. The record is from RefSeq and is a predicted model, not a curated record. Lineage: Eukaryota; Viridiplantae; Streptophyta; Magnoliopsida; Proteales; Proteaceae. The transcript is spliced from 2 exons.
CCCUCACGGAUUCGCAAAUGGCCAUUUCUGAUUUCUGCAAUUCACGGGUUCUUUUUCCCACUCUUCUCGCCAGAUCCCUCUCUCUCUCUCUCUCUCUCUCUCUGCAAUUAGGGAAGAGAUCUUCGAUCUUGUCAGCCUUAAACCAUUGACGAAGUUGAGGAUUGAGGAUUGAGGAUUUCAGAUUUCAUUCAUUAUAUAAUUGGAGACUGAACGCUCAUCAAUCAAGGUGUCUCUUGCUUGUGGAUUGCAACAGUAAGCAAGAUCUAUUACAUCAUAUUGUUGAUCAUUUAAAUCACCAAGCAGAGUUUUAGAUUUCAUGACAUCCAAAAACUUUAGAACCACAUACAAAACAUGGGAAGACAAGAGGCAGUGCUAGCUGAUAAUUCAAGAUGCUGUGCACCCCCCAAAAGCCAUGUAAAAGGGUGAGAGGUUUAACUUGUUUCUGUGAUUUUAACUCGUUUUAGAAUGGUGAGCCUAACAGUUUAGGACCCUAGUAACCCUGGCCUUUCUCCAAGUGGAACAAAAGCAAGAGCUAUUUGGAACUUAACUUCACAAGGUUGAACCUGUUGGUCCCAUGUAAUUGUUUUGCUGGUGUUGUUGCACAAAGGUUGAAAUGUAUAUAGCUUUCAAGUUCAGUACUUCAUGGUUGUGAUGGGAAAACCAAUCUGCCCAAUGCAUUGCAAUCUUUUAGACCAAUUGAAACAGGUUCAUUUUGGCCCACAUGGGUUGUUCUUCUAUGGUUUUCAUUGUUUACUGUUGAAAUUGAAACCUUCAGUGUACACUGGUUGUCUUCUUCCAUACUCGGUCAGUUUUAGCCAUAUAUGAUCUUAUUGCUAGAAGAACUUGUUCAUCAAGCAGAUUUAAUUAGAUUAGUAAAACCCAUGUGAUAAAAUAUUUUCUCUUGUGCAACACGUCGCUUGGAGAUGAUUGGUUGGCUUGUUCAUGGCAUUUAGCGGUGAGUUGUGAUCCAAAGCUUUAAUUUACUGUACUUUUUGUUUAGUAUUAUGGAUCUUUAUACUGGCUCAACUAGAGAUUAGUGAUCAAUAAUAAUAUAUUACUGCACACUUACCUAAACUGUAUCCUCGGUAGCGACCUACCGCUAGGGUAGAAUAUGGUAAUACUAGGAAUAUUGUCAGUAGGAAUUCUCAAAAUGAACAAAACAAAAGUAUCUCAGAAAUUUCUCAGGGAAAAAGUGUCUCAAUCAGAACGGAUUGUCCUUCUCCUGUGCUGAACUAAAUAUCUAAUGAGAUAAGAAGAGGAAACCAUAAAGAAAUACCAGAGUUCCACUUGAUAGAUUGUCUGAAUUCUGCACUCUCUUAUGUCUUAUGCGGCAAGUUGCGUCGGCUAACCUCAGCCCUAGGACCCAUGCCAGCUUGGAUCUUCUACAAGUAGGUUCUCAGGUUUUCUCAGCAACCACCACCAAUUGGAGAAGAAAGAAAACUUUCAACUUAAUUUGAAAGGGAGGGGGUUCCCUAACUGCCCAUGUUCAGCUGUCCUCACCCAGUUCAUCAGUUGGAAACUAGGAAUUACAUGGAGAAACAAAGUGGGCUCUACAAUUUUCUAUCAAUAGAUUCUUCCCAUAGAAAUGCCAAACAUGUUACAGCUCGCUAUUGUUGGUUAACUCUCAGUAGGUUUGAGAACAUUCAGAGAGGUACGUGAUGGUCUUAUGUCCAUCAAGGUUAAGAUACUGAUGCAUACAUAUCUGUUGAAUUGAUCUGUAUCAGUGCCACAUCAAUAUAAGACUUCGACGGUACUUAUCGGCUGAUACGAUAUCGAUACUUGGAACACUGAUGUCCAUUGAACAUUCUUUGGCUAGAGACAAUGGUCUGUGUGUGUGUGUGUGUGUGGUGGGGGAAGUGAUGAGGGGAUGAUCAUUUUGUGAAAUUGACUCCUGCUCUACGGUGCCAAGAAUCUCUAACAUAAAAAGUGGGUAUCGAGAUACCAUCACACCCUGCCAAUGUGUAGAAUCUUUAUCACCUCACAGUCAUGUCUAGUGGAAACCAAUACCAACGGAUUCCUCUUCUCUCUCUCAAGAGCUUUGGAGGCUCUUAUCACCAUCUCUUAGUGGUCCUUCCAUACAAGUUGGAGUUGGGUAAUACACCUACUCCUUAUGAUUUUAAAAGUGAAUUUGUCUGCUGCAUCCUUUAGUGCGACUGAUAGAGUAGAUACUCAACAGGUUCCACAAGAUUAAGACCCUUAAAUUGCUUAUGGAAUUACGAAUCCCCGACUUUAGGAGGCUAAAAAGUCCAUCCAGAUCUGAUCCGAUCCAUAUUUGGAGAGGAGAAUCUUUGAAUGAAAAAAAGCAUAUUUUCAAAAAGGAAGAAAUUCUAACUGGUGGGAUCUACUAAGAAAUUCUAAAGGAUGGGAGAGUAUCUCAAAACUAUUUAUACGUCACUGGAUAAGCAGAUACGUUGUGAUGGUAAUGAAGGGUGUACCAAUUGAUAAGAAUCAUGCAACACCGCCCUGGAGAGUUGACGGAUAAAAAUGAAGAGAAGUUGGUAAAGACAUUCUGAUCUGAUAACAUAUUUGUGGCUCAUAUCAAUUCUAUAAGAUGAAGCAGUUAUUGGAAGCAGCAGAAAAAGGAGGUCAAUGGAUGGACACUUUCUCGAUCCAUUCAUGGAUUCACUCAAUAUUGUUUGAGCAACAAAUUAACUUCAUAAAAGAAAUGUGAUGGACAAAAAAAAAAAAAAUUAGUUAUUAAUGGCUUCUGAGACUGCAAGUUCUUUAGUUUUGUCUGCCUUAAAGAGUGUCAUACACAGGUUAGGGUUUAUCCUGCUUAUUAGCUGUGCAUGCAUGGAUGCAUCUUUGCGUUUAUGACAUAGAACAGACAAUAGUUUACUCUACUCUCUUUUUUGAGGAAUUGUACAAAUGUCACCUCUUAGUUACAUUUAAUGGGAGAAAAAAGCUACCUGGUGGCGUAGCGCCAGCAACUCCUGUGCCUAUUUUUCAUCUCCCUCCUCUGAAAUGCCAUAUACCUCUUAUUGUGGAAUAAAAGAGUAAAAAGAUAAGACUACACAGCUGAUAAGGAACUCAAGCCCUUAAUAUAUAUAAACAUAUUUUUUUAUUCCCUGUCGUGUUCCCUAGAGUUCUGUUUGGUGAGUUAAAAAGAGUUAUUCAAAAUAAUUUGAAAAGGUUUUAUCAUUCGAUUAUUUUCAAGAAUUGUCGCUUUCUUGCAUAUUUUUUCUAAUAUAAAUGUGAAAUAAUAGUUUUUUGCCAGCAUUAAAAAAUAGUAUCGUACUAAGAGAAUAAAAAAAAAUUACAAAUUAAGAUUUUUUUUUUAAGAGAUUUUUCUGAACUGACAUUUAAGAAUUGAAGGAUGUCCUUCUCCCCUUCCCCCUUGUACGAAGUCUUUGUCUUCCAUUAGAAUCAUAUCCCACCACAAUAAAGAAAGGGAAUCACUUUGAGUGAACAGACAUUUGGUCCUUUAUGCCUUUAUGCUUGGUGAUUCUAUUGUGUCCUUAGUAUCAAACUAGAAAAAUACCAUCAUACUGUAGUGAUUUGCUUGUACGGGUUUUUUAAAAUUCUCAUAGCCAUAUGCUCAAGUUUUCAUUGAUAUGAACCAAUGGGUUAGAUUUUCCUAAUCCGUAUGUUAUUCUUGUACAUUCAUAUUCACCCCCAAAAGUGCUGAGCAAAUGCUUUAGGCGUCUUUUUUGGAUUCGAUCUACUAGUGAAGCUUUGGAAAGCUACCGUAUGAGCAGUAUGAAGACUUCAUCGGUACUUUUGUUACUUUUUCUGAGCAAUAGAGUUUUCCUAAGGCCGCGGUUAAUGGAUUCGUCGUAAUCCAUCACGAUCCACUCUACAAGGGGGUGAGAGUGAUCACAUUUGGAUCAUCCCAUCAUUCAGAAAACUGUCUUAAAUUUUUUAGAGGAAAUUUAGAAGAAAAAAAAAGAAUCUAUAAAAGAGAAGAAUAGAAAUGAAGUGAAAUGGGAAGGGAAAGGGGAAAAAAUUUUAUGUCCGUUUUGCCAUCAAUAAAAGAAAAUUUUUUCUAUUUUCUUGUGUUUCUUGUAUAUUAGGCAACACUUUUUUUUUGGCACCACAAGAAAGCUUUACCAUUUCAAAGAUGAAUUUGAAAUUCAAAAAAUAAAUAAAUAAAUAAAUAAAAUAAUAAUCUUCUCUUGAUUCAAAACUUCUUAAACCAAGAAAAUAUUACAAUGUUUGUACUUUUUUUCUUUUCUUAUCUAAUCUUAUCUUGACUACCAAAAAUGGUGUAAGAGAAGCAAAAUUAAAAGACAAUGAGGUGGUUGCAACCAUCAAACCCAGGAAAUCCCGAGGGACGAGGCUCCCUGAGGAAAAAUCCAUGAUAGAAAGGCUAUCCUUAUACUUUAAAAAAUAAAACUAAGCCAAUCCUAAAAAGUCCUUACCAUGGAUUUCCUGGGUAUUAAAACGCGGGGGGGGGGGGGGGGUAGUAUCAAAAAGCUGUUGCAAAUGGGCAUUGAAUAAGAGCACGGGCAAUGCGAUCCUCCACUAGCCAAUAUUGGGCAAGGAGAAUCAGUGGUUAACUUUUGCCUCAUCAAAAGUUGUCUUACAGUAAUUGUCUUAGAACUACAUCUCCAAAUAAACUGUUUAAUCUUUGGGAAUAGUUAUAGCUACCAAAGAAAACUCCAAAAAGGAUCAGGUAUCGAAGUAGGGAUCUUUUUUUACAUAGGCCAAUAAACGGAAGCCCCAAAGUUAAUUAAGGAGUAUUUGACUAACGCUACAUGCCUCUCUUGUUGCUUUGACCACGUUUGUGUUAGACCAUUCUUCAAUUUUGUUAAAUACUUGUUCAACCCAUUAUUCUUUUAAAAAAAUUGUUCAUUAUCUGGUUGCAUGGUUCAAACAUCUUUAAGUGUUUUUUUUUUUUUUUUUUCGAUAGAGAGAGUAGUAGGUAACAGCUAGGAGACUCAAACUUGAGACUUCCUAGUGAGCAUGGGUUUUUUAUACACCAUAGCUCACCAACUGCACUAAACAGUUGUUGAAAUGACAUUUAAUUGAUAAUAAAAAUUCUUAGUAAAUUAGCUAGUUUGAUUUGUUUUUUUUUUCAUAGUUAAAAUAAAGACGUUUUUGAAAAUAGAUUUCAUAUUAAAUUGUUCUUGUUUGAAAAAUAUAGAUUGCUUGAGUCUCUCACUCCUACAUCUGAAACACUUUCUCAACUUUCGGAGAUUUUGAGUCAAAUUUUUUAGCUUCUUGAGGUUGCGGAGAUCUAUUGGUUGUGAAGGUCCUGGUUGUGUUAUAAAUAAAGGAGAUAGAAAACUGUCAAGUUUUCAUAAUAUGGUUGUUAAUAAUUUUUUAAAAACUGUCAGCAUUCAUGCUCUGUUCUCCCUAAUCCCCCAAAAAUAAGUAUGUUGUUCAAGUGGAUGAUGAAAGGCCUAUUAGCUUGUGUACAGCUUUAAAAUUAUUUCUAAGCUUCUUACUAAUAUGCUUAGGGUUGUAUUGGAUAGUUUCAUCUCUCCUUUUUAGGCAAUUUUUGUUAGAGGUAGAUAGAUAGUGACAACAUUAUUGCUGCACAUGAUAUUUUUUACUUUCUUAGGAGGUUAGAAGAUAGAGGGGUAGAAGAGGAUGUGUUAUAUGUGUCUAGAAUUCUUAUACCCGUUUCGACAAUUGCCGCGUUUUGACAUUUUAUGUGGUGACCCGAAUGAGAAAUUGUGAGCUCUGUAACGUUAGUGAAGGGUUUGGGCUAAUAGACCCAAGUUUGGAGCCCAUCGAGUAUUUGUAUAUUUUAUUGUCUUGUUGUGCAAGUAAAAAAAAAGACGAGUGUGAACGACUGCCUAAUGCACUGGUAGAGUGUGAAGAGCUAAAACCCAUCCUAUUGGGAGGUCCUAGGUUCAAGUCUUUUGGUUCAGACCUUCUCUCUCCCUCAUAGAAAUAGAAUAAAUUAUGACCUAUAAAAAAAAAAAAAAAGAUUUGGGUUUUUUUGUGUUGAAGUUUCUAGAUGAGAGUUCUUGCUGCGACUUUGGUGUUCUUGAAAAUCUUCAUUGUAAUAUUUUUCUCAUCACAUAGUGAAUCAUCUUUAAAUUCGUCAGUGAAUGCAGCACACAUCAUAUUGAUGUGUGUACUACAUUAAAUUUCUUUGCUUGAAUUUUUGUGUUUAUUUGUGUUUCUUACUGUUUGCUCUAACAAGAUGGAUGGCUCUAAAGUUAGAUAUGUCCAAAGUUUAUGAUCGUCUGAAGUGAGGCUAUCUUAAAAGCCAUUUUGAGUUUAUGGGGUUUAGUGAAAAGUAGCGUGACUUGAUUACUUUUACGAUCUAUCGUUGUGAUAGAUGAUUGACAAACAGUCUUUCAUCACCUUCCCAAAGAAUAGCUCGUUGAAACUAAGGAAGGGAAUCUAAAGGGCUGCAGUUGAGGGUAGCACCAGACAGCACCCAAUUAGUUAUUUAGUGUCUACUUAUUCCUACUCCAUCAAACUGCAUGCUAGUUUUAAUUUGUUUACCCUUCUGGAGGAAUUCCCCAAGGAUGCCCUCUUAGCAUGUACUUAUUUAUUCUUACUAUGAAGGAGCUAUCUAGGCUUUUGAAUGUCCAUCAUGAUCUUAAUAUGUUUAAGGUCAUCAAGAUGAGCAGGGAUGCUCCUAAAAUCUCCCAUAUUUUUCAGACGAUGAGUUAAUCUUUUUUGGGGAAUCUGAGCACAAUGCUCUUUCAAUCCAAGCUAUCCUGAACUUCUUCCAAGAUUUUAAAAAAAAAAUAUAUAUAUAUAUAUAUAUGCUUUUAAUUUGUCUUUAAUUCAAUUCCUGCUUAUUGGAUGUACAUUAUUUCAUUUUCCUGACUGUCAUUAGUAAGAUUCAAUUACUUCUAGAAUUUAGCAAGGUGUAUAUGAUGUUGGUAGAAGUUGGUCUCUUGUUCUCUUGUCUCAUGGAAGCUGUUAUCUUUUCCUAAAGCAUAUUGGUGGGGAAGGGGGGUGGGGUGUUAGGUUUGUUAAACAGAUUACUUCUGGAGACUUUUGACUCAUACCCAGGAUUUGUGGGCCAGAGUAUUGAAAGCUAAGUAUUUCCCACACAACUCCUUGUUAGAUUAUAAUUCUUCUUCUAUGCCAAUCUUGCUUAUAUGGAAUGUUUUGUGCCAUGUUUUGCCUUCUAAUAGGAAGUUGGUGUGUCAACGUGAUUGUGAUCGGACUCUUUUUUAUCCAUGUGGGGUGAGUCUUGGAUUCCUGGUCUUAAAAGACUAAGCUUCCCAGGAGUUCUCAGUUAGCCAUCAGGUUUUGCUAUGGGAAAGAGUUGAUGGUUAAUGAUUAUUGGAAUAAACCUUUAUUGCAUUAUUUCCAAUUUUCCAUCGUAUAACUAAGACUGUUUGUAAGAUACCUAUUCAUGUAAAUAAACAUAUCUGUAAGUGGAUUUGCCCUGUCUUGCAAUGAUAUUUUUUUUUUACGGAUCUGGUA